AUCCGCGGUAGAACGUUGAAUACAACAGUUCCCCAUUAAUCGCUGAAGUUAAGCAACGUUACGCGUGGUUAGUAUUUGAAUGGGUGACAAUCCGGGCAAUCGCGUGCUGCUGGCU
RNAcentral lists this ribosomal RNA (115 nucleotides) under Diaphorina citri (Asian citrus psyllid). The record is from RNAcentral. Lineage: Eukaryota; Metazoa; Arthropoda; Insecta; Hemiptera; Psyllidae.